UCCGCCGACCACGGUGGAUGCUCUUAUUCCCUCCAACAAAAAGCGUUUGAAGAGGGCGCUUUCACCACAUUCUCUGAGGCAGAACAGAGCAGUGGCGCCAUGAAGAAAGCUCGAUGCCUAUGCCUGCGAUCUCGAGUGAUCAAGUUCCCCAUUCGAUCUGCUUAGAUCUGCUAGCUUUCCUGUGCAUUUUGAUUUUUUUUCCCUUAAAAAAUGGAGCAUUCAGCAUGGAUUUUAGGCUUCCGUUUGAUUUUCUCCAGUUAUUCACUGUUGUGUUUGGAAUAAUUUGCUGGACGUUUUCCAAUAGCCAAGUAAUCGGCGAUGUCGCUCUUCGCCGAUCGCUUUUAUCAUACUCUCUCCGAGUAACUCAUUUGCAUCUAUCCGAAUUUUUAUUAGUAUUUCAUUGCGAAAUCUGUAGCUAAAUGCUUCGGGGAUUACUGAUGAGUAUGCUUAUGCAGGAAAUUCUAAUUUUCUUUUAAUUACUAGUAGUACUUUUUUCCCGAUUGAGUAUGUUAUGUGAUUAAAUAGCAUUUCUGGUGUUUGUGUUAAGGUUUUCUGCUUGUAAUAUGACGGAACGCGGAGCAUCAACGAUCUAUUGUUGUGUAUGAUUCUGUUCAUUUACUGUUAAAAUCUUGUUUAACGAACAGAUUAAACACACUACUUACCCUGUGGCUGUGAAUGAUUAGCAUUUGUCGAUAUAUCAACAGUGUUUCUCAUACACCAGAAGAACCUCAAAGUUGAAUCACUGCAAUGUUGAUCUUGAGGAUUCUUAGUUCUUGCUACUAUUUUUGUUAUCCAUGUAUGCCUCACACAAAUUGCUUUUAUCUUAGAUUUUACAAGAAAGUAUGUUUGUUUUCCAUAAUUUUUGUUUGAACUUUGACGAGAAAUGUGAAGGCAUCUCUUGGAAGUUGUCCUUUCAUCUAGUAGUUAUGCAGAUUGUUCAUUCUGUUAAAAUAUUUUUGUGCAGUGGUGCAUGGCUGAGAUCUUGAGAUAUAGUUUUAUGUUCCACAGUGCUAACGACACUAAAAGCAUUCAUUUAGACUCUGACUAGUUUAUUCACUUGCAGCCUUCAUGCUUUAAUAGAGCCUUGUUGUUCAUUCAGUUACUCGUGACAAAUCUUCACAAAUCUUCAGUUACUCUUGACAAAUCAUCAAUUUUCUUCUCCUUUUGUUUCAUCUAACCUGCUUAAUAUUUGUUCAUUGGCUAUUCCAGUAGGUAAUUAGGAGAAGGAGAUUCAAUCCUGUAUAAUUUUUUUGGGCUAGUCAGGUUUUGCUGUUUUAGAAGUUUUCAUUAUGCCUUGUACUGAUCACUCACCAAUUAAUUUUAAAGAGAGCAUAUGCUAAAGUGAACAGUAAGCUUAAUCACAAUCAAAAUGCAAAUCUAGAGUCUAUUUAAAGACUUAAUGAUAGCAAGGUCACAAAAAACUGGCUUCUACAUCCGAUUGGAGAAUGUAGCUAGCAGUUAUUUGCUCUUGUUUCAUUAUGGAUAUCAAACCAAGUUGGUAAAUUGAUCUACAUCCAUCUUUUUUUCUUUUUUAACCUGAUUAUUAUUGUCAGAUACAUGAUUCUCCUUCCCUAUCUGUUAUAAAUUUCAAAUCCUUGGGAGACAAGUUUAUCAAGGACCCAACCUUACACGACCAUUGAUGUGUUGAAAUCCGUUGGAUCGUUGUUUCAUUAAUGUAUGUGAUAUCCUGCUCCAUUUUCUAUUAAGCAUGAUAGUUGCCAAGAAAUCUACAAGGAGAUGGUUUUGAUGCAGGUAAUUGUAUGAUGUGCUAGUCCUUACUGACUCUAUUUGUGCUCCACAGUAAUAAAAUUUCUUUAAGGUUCUGCAAUUUGGGAUUGGCAUGUCAAACAUUUCUUUUACUUCAGUUUAAGAGCUUCUUGUUCAAUUCAAUUACUCAGGGCAGUUUUGAAGCUUGAAUGGAUGUUAUAGAUCUGCUUUAUGAUAAUGGAGACAUCAGUCUUUUACAGCAAUCCUGAGGCUCUGGCUGCACCAGUAGUGGCUAGCCACAAUUUGUUCAACUCUUGAAUCAUCUAAGUCUAAGGCAAACAAAAUCUUAUGGAAUUUCUUCGAAGCCUCUAUUUUUAUUUCAUUUAAAGUGAGACAUAAAUUUUAGUUAGUUUAAGUACAGUCUGACAUUUGUUGAGACGACCAAAUUAAUUGAAUGAGAUCAUAUUUCCAUACUUGUGGAGAAAAUAAGGCCGUUUCACAUUGCUUGAGAAGGAUUAUCAUCUGAAAAUCUUAGUCUUAAAUGUACAUACAAAUUAUCUCAAAUUUGACUAGUCACCGAUUGAAUGAAUUGGUUAUUCAUUGACGUCUAUAUGGUUGGUAGAGUGCCCCCUUCUACCAACCAUCCAUCACCAUUAUUUGAUUCUUCCUUUCCUCACAUUAAUCAUACAGUCAUUUAUAUAUGCCUAUCCUUUCUCAAAGUCUGCUAAAACUUCUAACCACUUUCUUGGACCAUUGGACAAAGUUUAACACAAGAAUCUAACUUUGAGAGAGCCUGUCUUAUAAUAUCAUUCGAUUCAACCAAUUCUCUAGCCACUGUCUUUUAGAGUUAAAUGGCCAAGACAAAUAGUAUUGUGUUCCCUUGAUCCCUUCACUCUUAACUAAAACUUUGUUUCAUCGGAUUUAAUAAUUUAUAAUAACGUUUACUGGAAAGGUUUCAUUCUAGCUAGCAAGUAUAUGAAUAAUCAGAAAGUAAAUCAUACACUGAUUCUUAUGAAUUCGUGUAUUUGUAUGCUCAUUAACACUAACCACAGCAAAAAUUAUAAGCUAUUGCUUAUUUGAUCAGUAGUUGGGUCAAUUCUCUAUAUAUUACAAAUUUUGGCCAAAUUUUUGGCUUGUAAUGCACCUUUCAAAAUUUGAAUGAUAUAUCAUAAAGUUUCAAAAUUUCUCAAUUGUCUCAUUUGACCAAAUUUGUUUUAUUUUAUUCUUUACACUUUUAGUUUCUUAGGCUCAAAAUGACGUCGUUUAGUCGCAUGCAUUGUCGCUAUUUAUCGACAUCAUCAAAUUUAACACGUGUGCACCAACUUAACAUUGAAUUUGCCAUUCAAAUUUUGAAAGGUGCAGAACAAAUCAGAAUUUGGUCAAAUUUUAUGAUUUUACAUGCAAAUUAACCCUUUUGAGUUUUGAUUUCCAUGUUGCAUUUAAGAAAGAGAAGCUAGGUUGUGUCUGUCCAGAUAUAUUCGAGCUUGAGCUUGAGCUAUCAUUAUUAAUUUAGCAUUACCUAGGCGUAGGGAGAUCUCCGCCUAACUCUCGUUAUAUGUACUCCUCUCAUAACGUAGCUAUAUACCCCACCCUUUGAAGGGUUGCUGUUCAUCACAUAGUUUAAUGAUUAGUUGUUAAUCCAGAUAUGUUGAUUUGAAAUCCUAAUUUUAUCCUACUCCAUAUCAUUUAACACCGUCUUAUACUUUAUAAUCUAUACAUAAUUCACUACACGCUCUUUCUUGAUUUAAUCUAUGUGCCAAAACACCUCAAUUAAGGCGGUAGGGAUGAGUACUAAACAAUUGCCAAAAAUUUGAUGAUCCUAGGGCAUAUAUUCGAAACCCAAGCGGAAUAUUAUAUAGCAAAUAGAUAAAAUGUACAUAUGAUUGUAAAGGUUUGAUAAAAAUAAAAUAUGUUUAUGGAUUUUGUCUGGUGUAUGAAAGAUAAUAUUUUGACAUUUAGGGCAUAGGACCACAAAGGGCCAUCCAUGAUUCCUUCCUAUCAAGACAUGAAUUUAAUUUUAGCUUUUCUACUUGCUUGUCCUUCUUCCUACCUGCAUUCCCCACUUCGUUGAUGUUUUUCUGUUUACCUCAUGUAGUAAUUCACUUAAAUCAAUUCGCGUCACAUUCUGUUUUUCAUGGUUUUUAUUCCGAAAAUUAUUCUCUUUUUGUGAUCUUGAUUCGUCCACCAAAAUUAGUGCCAUUUCUAUUUAUGAAAAACAUUCUCACCAUUUUUUCUCUCCUCAUUCUCUACAUACUUUUUUUUCUCUCAUAUUUUAUCAACUGUGAUUUAAAAUUUUAUCGUCCACAAAUAGGAUUAUUUUUCGCGAACGAAGCUAGGGAGUUUUACAUAAUAAAAUGGAUGGGUUAGUUGUAUGACAUUUAAUUCACUGCAAAAUCAUCAUCCUCUAUCUUUGCUUCUGUUUUACUAGAAUUCUGUGACGGCAUAUUUUUACUAUAGAAUUUUGGACUAGGCCUAAUGGUUAAAUUUAUUAACCCCUAGUUAUACUGAUCCCUAUUUUUACGUUUUGAUAUAUCGGACCACUAUUAAUUUUAGUUUCUAUAGUUUUAUUCAAUAAUUUUUUUUGGGUCUUUGUGGGUUGGCAUGUUGGGACUUGGGACCGA
Long non-coding RNA from Salvia splendens (bonfire salvia), 4328 nucleotides. RefSeq lists it as uncharacterized. The transcript has 3 exons. The record is from RefSeq and is a predicted model, not a curated record. NCBI's taxonomy places the organism in Eukaryota, Viridiplantae, Streptophyta, Magnoliopsida, Lamiales, Lamiaceae.